CACCCAGACAUCUGUGGUAAAGCCGAAGACUUUAGGUCAUCAGGCACGACAGGAAAGGGAUGCAAAAAUCGCUAGAGAACUUCAACGAGCCUUCCAGUUGAGACUUGAAAGUGAAAACUUCCUGCUUACCAAAAAUGUGGCGUACAAUGUUAUGCAGUUGCCUGAAAAAAAGCACAAAGAAACCCUUGGCUUAAGCUGAAGUUGCCCUUCACUAGAGUUCAUCUCAAGCACAAACAGCAAAGCAGCCACAAGAUAAGUAUAAGCUUCAGCCAUCACUUCCCCUCUCAUGUACACUGAUGGCACUCAGGACUAAACUGUACCAUACCAUUCUUUGCUGUUGGUUCCUGAUUUUUGCUAGGAUUCUGUGAUUCAUGGCUUGUCUUGGUAGCUUAGGUGGUGCAGUCUUUUUUGGAACAAGCAAGGAGAUCAGUGACAAAAAAUAAUCUCUCUUUAGGAAAAGACUAUUCAGUACUUUUUUGGCAAAUAUCAGUUCAGUGCUUGCCAUACGUAGCAUAAAACCUGCUGUAGAAUUUGAGGCCAGGUGUCCAAAGAGGAAAUGCACCUGGUCCAUGGUAAUUUGUUCCUCCAGAGAGCAGAGUUACUGCUUUGCAGUGCCUGGUGCUGUGUAGUAGUAGUGUGCCAAUAAAUCACUGGUUUGGACAUAAAAGGAAAGCAGAGACUUUGGGUUGAAGAGGUCUACAGGGGGGCUGUUUAGCACGGGAGUCAUUUGUGGAUUGCCUGAAGGUGUUCAGUGUGUAGCCUCCGGAAUGUCUUCCACUUGCUUUAGAAAUGCUGUUGACAGAUAAGCAAUUGUG
Long non-coding RNA from Corapipo altera (White-ruffed manakin), 815 nucleotides. RefSeq lists it as uncharacterized. Lineage: Eukaryota; Metazoa; Chordata; Aves; Passeriformes; Pipridae. The record is from RefSeq and is a predicted model, not a curated record. The transcript has 3 exons.